GUGGUUGGCUCACAAGUAAGAAAGUAAACAAAAAAAAGUUGUGUGAAGUGUGCAGCAGCUCUUUGCAUGAAGAAACCAUGAGAGGUUGGAAGCUCAUAAUUUGAGUUCGUUGGUGCAGAACUGCAGAAACACAGCUAAUCAUUUAUUAAGACCGCCUUGACGUUUCCCUCAGCUCAGUGAAAACAACUGGUUACCCGAAGUCCCACCUGAUGCCCUUGACACACAUCUCACUGGAGAGAGGACCUAGGAACCAUACCUUUGAAUAUAAUCAUCAAGGAAGGUAGCACCCAUAUUUCCCAGUUUCUGUGAGAGCCCAACCAUGACCAAGUUGCAAAACUACCACCUGUCAUAGAGGAAGAAGCAGAAAGUGCCUAUCUGUAAGGAGAAGAAAAGGAGAGGCGAGCUACCUUUUGAGAGUAUUUUAAUUUCCUUUGGUCAAGACUUAACCUGGAAGAAGCUGGCAAUCUGGAAACACCAGUGACUGCAAAAAACCUCU
This is a long non-coding RNA of Eubalaena glacialis (North Atlantic right whale), 496 nucleotides long. RefSeq lists it as uncharacterized. The record is from RefSeq and is a predicted model, not a curated record. The transcript is spliced from 5 exons. Lineage: Eukaryota; Metazoa; Chordata; Mammalia; Artiodactyla; Balaenidae.